GUAUAAUUGGCUGGUGGACACUCUUAGUUUUGUGAUAAUUUGCUGGAAGACACCGCAUUAAUUAAAAUAAUAUUUUUGAGCCGAACAUGAUAGAGAUACAGUGUGAAAUGGUCAUUUUUGCCCCCUGACUUCACCGAUUAGCCCCUUCUUCCUCCUCUCCCUUCUGCGAUCUCUUGCACCUAGACUCGACCAACCGUCGUGGCCCCUGGACUCGUGGCAAGCCGCGCUGCGCCAAGGCUCGACGACACGCGGUGGCUUGCAUCAGGCAUGAGGUCAGCAAGAGCGGAGCACUAAAUCGAGCUAGAUAAGUAGAAAUUGAGGUCGUCCCAAGUUGGAUUAAGCUCAUCCACUCACGAAUCUAAAACUCCUAAUCUUGUACGGAGUCUUCCCUUCACUUCUUUCCUCUUCCUCCUCCCGUUCUUCCUGCAGGCCCCGCGGUACCCCUGCGUCCGCACCCGCGGCGUUGCUAUCUGCCAUUGGAGCUCCUCCGGGCGAAGCUUAGGCCAGAGGCAGCGCACACCGCUUGGGGCAAGAUGGCUGCAAGGAAGAGCAGGCGCACGUGGCCACCGGAGCUUCUUUGAGUGGGGUGGAGCUGGGACUGUGGGGCGGCGUAGGUGGAGGUGCUGUGGACGCAAGAUGGAUGGGAUAUGGGGAGUUGCUCAAGCCGGCGGAUAGCACAGCAGCGGCCAGCGGGCCUUGGAGAAAUUGGAGGGGGAGGAAGAAGAAAGGUCUGACCAGUAGGAUCAGGGGAUAAAAGCAAGGCUGAACUUUAGAGUUGAUGACGAAUCAGAGGACAUGUGUGGUCCAAACAUGAAGCAUGCGUCAAGGUGAAGGAAAGUCAUGAAAGCGUUGGAACCGUCAAUAGUUACGCUCCAUGUUGCCGUGGCAAGGUUAUUGCUAUUUCUUCCGAACCCAUCAAGCAAGUGGUGACCACACGAUCGGGUGAGGUCUUACCCACGGAGACAAUUAGUCCAAUGCAUGUGGAACACCCACCAUUCAGUGUGAAGUAAUAUGUGUUGAUGGUUGAUGACUCUCUCAAGGAACUACUGGCAUACAUUUGCACCUUAUUUUUUUUUUGCAUAGUCACAAGCUUAAAUUCAUGCCAUGCACAAUUCCAUUAUGCUAUAUAUUUUCAUUUGU
Molecule: long non-coding RNA, 1140 nt
Organism: Setaria italica (foxtail millet)
Lineage: Eukaryota; Viridiplantae; Streptophyta; Magnoliopsida; Poales; Poaceae
Exons: 2
Source: RefSeq, a predicted model, not a curated record